Molecule: ribosomal RNA, 353 nt
Filed under: uncultured Pelotomaculum sp.
Lineage: Bacteria; Bacillati; Bacillota; Clostridia; Eubacteriales; Desulfotomaculaceae
Description: bacterial SSU rRNA
Rfam family: Bacterial small subunit ribosomal RNA
Source: RNAcentral
ACAGGUGGUGCGAUGGUUGUCGUCAGGCUCGUGUCGUGAGAUGUUGGGUUAAGUCCCGCAACGUAGCGCAACCCCUACGUUUAGUUGCUAACGCGUGAAGGCGAGCACUCUAGACGAACUGCCGUUGACAAAACGGAGGAAGGUGGGAUGACGUCAAAUCAUCAUGCCCCUUAUGUUCUGGGCUACACACGUGCUACAAUGGCCGGUACAGACGGACGCAAAGCCGCGAGGUGGAGCAAAUCCUAAAAAGCCGGUCUCAGUUCGGAUUGCAGGCUGCAAUUCGCCUGCAUGAAGUCGGAAUCGCUAGUAAUCGCAGGUCAGCAUACUCGCGGUCGAAUACGUUCCCGGGCCUU